This 240-nucleotide ribosomal RNA is filed under the name Pantoea brenneri. Its description in RNAcentral is "partial 16S ribosomal RNA". It matches the Rfam family "Bacterial small subunit ribosomal RNA", at positions 573 to 812 of the family's 1533-position model. The record is from RNAcentral. Lineage: Bacteria; Pseudomonadati; Pseudomonadota; Gammaproteobacteria; Enterobacterales; Erwiniaceae.
AGGCGGUCUGUUAAGUCAGAUGUGAAAUCCCCGGGCUUAACCUGGGAACUGCAUUUGAAACUGGCAGGCUUGAGUCUUGUAGAGGGGGGUAGAAUUCCAGGUGUAGCGGUGAAAUGCGUAGAGAUCUGGAGGAAUACCGGUGGCGAAGGCGGCCCCCUGGACAAAGACUGACGCUCAGGUGCGAAAGCGUGGGGAGCAAACAGGAUUAGAUACCCUGGUAGUCCACGCCGUAAACGAUGU